Molecule: ribosomal RNA, 321 nt
Filed under: uncultured eukaryote
Lineage: Eukaryota
Description: partial 18S ribosomal RNA
Rfam family: Eukaryotic small subunit ribosomal RNA
Source: RNAcentral
GCCCUUAGAUGUUCUGGGCUGCACGCGCGCUACAUUGACACACCCAGCGAGUCUCCUGCCCUGACAGGGUUGGGUAAUCAUUGGAGUGUGUGUCGUGAUGGGGAUAGAGUAUUGCAAUUAUUGCUCUCGAACGAGGAAUUCCUAGUAAGCACAAGUCAGCAGCUUGUGCUGAUUACGUCCCUGCCCUUUGUACACACCGCCCGUCGCUCCUACCGAGGGGGUGAUCCGGUGAAUGAUUCGGACUUUGGCGUUUCUAGCUGCUAGCAGCGCUGAAGAAAGUUUUGUGAACCUUAUCACUUGGAGGAAGGAGAAGUCGUAACA